GGUGGCGUAGCUCAGCUGGUUAGAGCAUGGCACUCAUAACGCCAAGGUCAGCAGUCCGAUCCUGCUCGCCACCA
RNAcentral lists this transfer RNA (74 nucleotides) under Candidatus Dojkabacteria bacterium CG_4_10_14_3_um_filter_Dojkabacteria_WS6_41_9. RNAcentral's name for it is "tRNA-Met". It matches the Rfam family "tRNA". Rfam says of the family: Transfer RNA (tRNA) molecules are approximately 80 nucleotides in length. Their secondary structure includes four short double-helical elements and three loops (D, anti-codon, and T loops). The record is from RNAcentral.